Molecule: long non-coding RNA, 450 nt
Filed under: Sus scrofa (pig)
Lineage: Eukaryota; Metazoa; Chordata; Mammalia; Artiodactyla; Suidae
Description: lncRNA (ENSSSCG00070009132.1)
Source: RNAcentral
GUUUAUUAAAAUAACAUUGCCUUUAAGUAGGAAAAUAAUAAAAAGUUCCAGAACAGAAAAUGCAGGUAAUAGAUAUCUGCGUUAAUCUGCACUUUGUCUUUCGGCAAUAAGAGAUUUAGUUUUGCAUGGACACGUAUCCAAGAAGGCUUUUCACCAGAAGAUGAGAGUAUGGAGAGAACCAUAGACUUAUGUGAUGGAGGAAAAAGCAAGGAGAACGUGAAAGAUGAGGAAAGCAUUUUGGAAGUUAUUGGCACUACAUAUCAGUGCUGCCAUCCUGACAAGUAUGGGGAUACGAAGCACCAUUCUGAAGUUUCCAGUGAGAAAAACAGCCACAGCCCAAUUUCCUAAAAAGUAAGUAACAAAAAUACACCACCAGAAAUAAGGUAAUCUCCAUUAUGGUGAAAAUAUCUAUAAAAUAAAAAAUAAGCAAAAAAGACUUUUGGUUCCUCU